UAAGUUAAAAGGAGCAAAUGCUUCACUAUGAGAUGGACCUGCGUUGUAUUAGCUAGUUGGUGAGGUAACGGCUCACCAAGGCGACGAUACAUAGCCGACCUGAGAGGGUGAUCGGCCACACUGGGACUGAGACACGGCCCAGACUCCUACGGGAGGCAGCAGUAGGGAAUCUUCGGCAAUGGACGGAAGUCUGACCGAGCAACGCCGCGUGAGUGAAGAAGGUUUUCGGAUCGUAAAGCUCUGUUGUUAGAGAAGAACGGUAAUGGGAGUGGAAAA
Molecule: ribosomal RNA, 276 nt
Filed under: Streptococcus iniae
Lineage: Bacteria; Bacillati; Bacillota; Bacilli; Lactobacillales; Streptococcaceae
Description: partial 16S ribosomal RNA
Rfam family: Bacterial small subunit ribosomal RNA
Source: RNAcentral